UCUGAAUGGGGAAACCCACCUGAGCAAACCUCAGGUAUCCUAACGCCAAUACAUAACGUUAGGAGGGGAACCCGGUGAACUGAAACAUCUAAGUAGCCGGAGGAAGAGAAAACAACAUGUGAUUCUGGAAGUAGCGGCGAGCGAAACCGGAAGAGCCCAAACCGGAGUGCGUGCACUCCGGGGUUCGGACCGCGGAAUUGAUCCAAAAGACUUAACAGAACGGCCUGGGAAGGCCGGCCAGAGAGGGUGAAAGCCCCGUAAGUGAAAGGUCGAUUGGCAUGGCGGUAUCCAGAGUAGGUCGAGACACGUGGAACCUUGACUGAAUACGCGGGGACCACCCCGUAAGGCUAAAUACUCCUUAGUGACCGAUAGCGCAUAGUACUGUGAAGGAAAGGUGAAAAGGACCCCGGGAGGGGAGUGAAAAAGAACCUGAAACCAUAUGUUUACAAGCUGUGGAACCACUUUAAAUGUGGAACCGCGUACUUUUUGUAGAACGGUCCGGCGAGUUACGCUGGCUGGCGAGGUUAAGUCCUUAAGGGAUGGAGCCGAAGGGAAACCAAGUCUGAAUAGGGCGAAGAGUCAGUCGGAGUAGACCCGAAACCGGGUGACCUAUCCAUGUCCAGGAUGAAGUUGCCGUAAAAGGCAAUGGAGGUCCGAACCCACAUCCGUUGAAAAGGGUGGGGAUGAGGUGUGGAUAGGGGAGAAAUUCCAAUCGAACCCGGAGAUAGCUGGUUCUCCUCGAAAUAGCUUUAGGGCUAGCCUCAUACAAGUCUUGCGGAGGUAGAGCACUGAAUUUCCUAGGGGGCGUCAAAGCUUACCGAAGAAUAUCAAACUCCGAAUGCCGCGUAGAUGGUGUAUGGGAGUCAGACUGCACGAGAUAAGUUGGGUAGUCAAAAGGGAAAGAGCCCAGACCUGCAGCUAAGGUCCCAAAAUGUGUGUUAAGUGGAAAAGGAUGUGGGAUUUCGAAGACAACUAGGAUGUUGGCUCAGAAGCAGCCAUACAUUCAAAGAGUGCGUAAUAGCUCACUAGUCGAGAGGUCCUGCGCCGAAAAUGUCCGGGGCUGAAACACACUACCGAAGCUCAGGAAUGUACUUGUACAUUGGUAGAGGAGCAUUGUAUACGGGAAGAAGCAGUACCGAUAAGGAGCUGUGGACUGUAUAGAAGAGAGAAUGCCGGAAUGAGUAGCGAGAGGAAGGUGAGAAUCCUUCCGGCCGAAUAUCUAAGGUUUCCAGAGUAAAGCUGAUCUGCUCUGGGUAAGUCGGGGCCUAAGGCCAGGUCGAAAGACGUAACCGAUGGACAACAGGUUGAAAUUCCUGUACCGCGAUAUAACAGAACUGUGGGGACACGUGUGGAGAGCACAAGCCGGGAAUGGA
This 1373-nucleotide ribosomal RNA is filed under the name Dorea formicigenerans. RNAcentral describes it as "partial 23S ribosomal RNA". It matches the Rfam family "Bacterial large subunit ribosomal RNA", at positions 113 to 1502 of the family's 2925-position model. Lineage: Bacteria; Bacillati; Bacillota; Clostridia; Lachnospirales; Lachnospiraceae. The record is from RNAcentral.